UGAGGAAUAUUGGUCAAUGGGCUUACGCCUGAACCAGCCAAGUCGCGUGAGGGAAGACUGCCCUAUGGGUUGUAAACCUCUUUUGUCAGGGAGCAACAACAUCUACGAGUAGGUGUUACG
RNAcentral lists this ribosomal RNA (120 nucleotides) under uncultured bacterium. Its description in RNAcentral is "partial 16S ribosomal RNA". It matches the Rfam family "Bacterial small subunit ribosomal RNA", at positions 355 to 472 of the family's 1533-position model. The record is from RNAcentral.